Molecule: transfer RNA, 84 nt
Filed under: Candidatus Woesearchaeota archaeon
Lineage: Archaea; Nanobdellati; Candidatus Woesearchaeota
Description: tRNA-Leu
Rfam family: tRNA
About the family: Transfer RNA (tRNA) molecules are approximately 80 nucleotides in length.
Source: RNAcentral
GCGGGGAUGGCAGAGUGGUCAAAUGCGAUGGACUCAAGAUCCAUUUCCUUAGUGGAUACGAGGGUUCGAAUCCCUUUCCCCGCA